Molecule: ribosomal RNA, 504 nt
Filed under: Triticum aestivum (bread wheat)
Lineage: Eukaryota; Viridiplantae; Streptophyta; Magnoliopsida; Poales; Poaceae
Description: partial small subunit ribosomal RNA
Source: RNAcentral
AUGGCAGCCAUACUUGAAUCGUUGCUUGGAUCAUGUGCCAGUAAGUUGCAGAAUAUCAUUACAGAUGAGGCCAUACUAAUCCUCGGGGUGGAAGAAGAGCUCAGAGAAGUCCUGCGACGAGUAGAACUGAUAAAAUGUUGCAUAUAUGAUGCUGAGAAAAGGAGGACAAAAGAGCUAGCAGUAAACAAUUGGCUCGGCCAACUGAGAGAUGUUAUAUAUGAUGUUGAUGAAAUCCUAGAUGUGGCUAGAUGUAAAGGAAGCAAGCUACUUCCUGAUGAUCCUUCUUCAUCAUCAAGCAAAUCAGCUGCAUGUGCGGGCUUCUCAGUUUCCUCUUGCUUUUGUAACAUCUGGUCACGUCAUGAUGUUGCUGUUCGGAUUAGAGGCCUCAACAAAAAGAUAGAGAACAUUUCAAAGGACAAGAUAUUCUUAACAUUCAACACUAGUACACAACCUGCUGGAAAUGGUCCAACAUCCAAAUAUGGUAAGAAGUUCCAACCUCGUUGA